Molecule: long non-coding RNA, 1083 nt
Filed under: Eucalyptus grandis
Lineage: Eukaryota; Viridiplantae; Streptophyta; Magnoliopsida; Myrtales; Myrtaceae
Description: long non-coding RNA (EGRA_LNC006180)
Source: RNAcentral
UCAAUGCUAUUAAAGUGCCAAUUACCAAAUCAGCCUUGGCGAUUUGAUAUUUCAAAAAAGUGAAACAUAAUUCAAAUCACAAUGAUUCAGAUAUUUAGAUUCGAGCAGAAAUAACUAAAGAACUGAACUCACAUAUACAUGAUACACUGCAUAAAUCGUACAACUAGUGUUAAACUACGCAUCUAUCUAUGACUUUUAUGUAUAUCCAAGGGAACGUGCUGAGAAGUAAGAAGAAAAAACUAGAGAGGAAGGCUGACCACCGCAUAUGGGGCGACGCCGGGAGCCUCAAUUUGACUAAUAAUAACUACCGAACUGAAUUCAUACAUAAUAAACAACAAAAAAUUGCACCACUCAGGUUCGACUCCACAUCUAUGACGUUAUAUAUAUCAAAGGGAAUAAGCUUAGAAGUAAGAAGAAAUACUAGAGAGGAAGACUGACCCCGCACGGGCCAGGAUGUAAGGGCGUGAGCAAGUGAAGGGUCAUGAAAAUCAAGAGGAAGCACAAAAUUCUGAUAAGAGAGGAGGAGGGAGAAGAAAGCAGUUUUGCCAUUGCUUUUGAGUUCUUUCAAGCGCUUUCCUUUUUUUUUUUCCAUGUAUGUAUAUAUAAGCCCCACAAGAAUCAUUAGUCAUAACAUUAGAUGGACAACAACAACAUCGUACUUUAAUUACUUGGGACGCAGCACCCAUGACUCUGGCCCCUGGCUUUUGAACAGGUCAAUCAGUAAAUGCGUAAGAGACGUGCUUAAUGAGUGAAUCUCCCCAAGUCCUCUCACACCAAUUUCAUCCCGUUCAAACUCGGGAUAUGUCAAAAAAGUGAAACAUAAUUCAAAUCGCAACUAUUCAGAUAUAUGGAUCCGAGUAUGAAUAACAACCGAACUGAACAAAAAAGUGAAACAUAAUUCAAAUCGCAACUAUUCAGAUAUAUGGAUCCGAGUAUGAAUAACAACCGAACUGAACUCACAUAUACGUAAUACACAGCAUAAAUACAACUAAUGUUUGACUUCACACCUGUCGAUGACUUCUAUGUAUAUCCAAAGGAACGAGCUUAGGAGUAAGAAGAAAUAACUAGAGAGGAAGACUGACC